CGCAUCUGUGCAUGCAGCAUAUCAAUAAGCGGAGGAAAAGAAACUAACAAGGAUUCCCCUAGUAACGGCGAGUGAAGCGGGAAGAGCUCAAAUUUGAAAUCUUAAAGGGUUUCCCUUUACGAAUUGUAGUUUAAAGAAGUGUUUUCUGUUGAGGUUUUGGUAAAAGUUCUUUGGAAUAGGACAUCAUAGAGGGUGAGAAUCCCGUAUUUGGACCUUUACUUUCAACUUUGUGAUACACUUUCAAAGAGUCGGAUUGUUUGGGAAUGCAGUCCAAAAUGGGUGGUAAAUUUCAUCUAAAGCUAAAUAUUGGCGAGAGACCGAUAGCGAACAAGUACCGUGAGGGAAAGAUGAAAAGAACUUUGAAAAGAGAGUUAAACAGUACGUGAAAUUGUCAAAAGGGAAGCGUUUGACACCAGUGUUGUUUUUCUGAAAAUCAAUUAAAGAACUGUUUAUGCUAAGCUGUUUAGACUUUAUCAGCUAAUCUGUUUAGUUUUGAGCUUUUCUUUAAUGCACUUUUCAGUUAACAAGUCAACAUCAAUUUCUUUUGCUGUAAAAAAGCUUGAGGAAGGUGGCUUGAGAUUCGUCUUAAGUGUUUAUAGCCUCUUGCCUAUGCAGUCGGAGAGAUUGAGGUCUGCAGCGUAGAUCCUUCGGGGCUAAAUGCAUUUGUGCUAAGUUAUAGCAUUUUAUAGACAACUUGUUGACUAUGAUUUGUCUUGUAGCUUACUCGCUUAUGUUAUUUUACCUACGCUUAGGAUGUUGAGUCAUCACACAUCUCU
This 776-nucleotide ribosomal RNA is filed under the name uncultured Neocallimastigales. RNAcentral describes it as "partial large subunit ribosomal RNA". It matches the Rfam family "Eukaryotic large subunit ribosomal RNA", at positions 26 to 614 of the family's 3401-position model. The record is from RNAcentral. Lineage: Eukaryota; Fungi; Neocallimastigomycota; Neocallimastigomycetes; Neocallimastigales.